GCCUGGGUGGCUCAGUGGGUUGAGCAUCCGACUUCAGCUCAGGUCAUGAUCUUGCGGUUGGUGAGUUUGAGCCCCACAUCAGGCU
Felis catus (domestic cat) is the source of this 85-nucleotide non-coding RNA. The record is from Rfam. NCBI's taxonomy places the organism in Eukaryota, Metazoa, Chordata, Mammalia, Carnivora, Felidae.